RNAcentral lists this long non-coding RNA (3539 nucleotides) under Triticum aestivum (bread wheat). RNAcentral describes it as "long non-coding RNA (TAES_LNC017565)". The record is from RNAcentral. Lineage: Eukaryota; Viridiplantae; Streptophyta; Magnoliopsida; Poales; Poaceae.
ACCAAAGUUAAACAAGGUAAUAUUGAAACAUGCACAAUCAAGUCCAAGUUCCAUCACAAUAACCAAAGUUAAACAAGGUUCACCAGAGACAUAACCAAAGUUCCAGCACAAUACAUAACCAAGUCCAAGUUCAAUAACACAUAGUGACAAACUGGUAGUCCAAGUUCCAGCACUAGACAUAACCAAAGUCCAAGUUCAAGUGUUCAACAACACAAACUGAUAGUGAUAAAUGACAAUAGAUUUGCACUUGAAGUUGAAGAGCAGCCAACAGUAAGACUCCCAAUUUGCCAUCAUAAACAUGAGCAUCUUGACCAUUCCAAGUUCCAGCCAAGUGAGCCAAUCUGCCAUUUUUUGUAGAUAGUACAGAAUUCGGUUAAAAUAGAAUACUAGAUACCACACAAUACUAUUAAGCAAAUCUAGUGAUGUACAUAUGCCUAGAAUUUGGAAAACAAAGUACAUGAAGUGCAUAAAGCAACAUUUGCAUAACAGCAUUCACAUGAGGUUUAUUACAGCAACAUUUGCAUUUACAUGACAUAACAAUCUGCAAGGAAACCACAUGGUUGUGUGGUGCAUGUUUUGAAUGAUACGACAAUUGCAUUACAUCAGCAUUUGAAAAUAUCAAAGUUGGUCUACUACAGAAAAAAUAAAUGAAACCUAAAAGCAUGAACAAGAGGAAGACAAUUUCUUGCAACUCACCAAUGUUUAAGUAGAGGAUGGAGGUGGGCAAGAUUGGCUCAGCCCCAGAUGGCUUGCAAACAGACUUGCUACUACUUGCUUUCGAUUUGGAUGAAUUUGUACUACCAAACUCUUCAAUUAGUUCUGAAAAAGAAUGAAAUAAACAUGUAAUAAACAUAGGAAGUUAGAAAUAUAGAAAAUUACAUAGAAAACAAUCACAAUAUGUUACCCUUUUCCAAUCUUAACAAUUCCUCCUCAUCUUCUUCAAUGUUGACAGUAAUAGAACCCCUUAGCCAGUCUUGGGCACAAACAAGAGCUUGGACCAUGAAUGGUGUAAGGGAGGUUCUAAAUUCAUUUAGGAUGCGACCACUUGUGCUAAAUGCUGACUCAGACGCAACCGUUGAUACCGGAACAACCAACACAUCACGGGCCAUUCUUGCCAAUAUUGGGAAUCUAGCAGCGUUGUUCUUCCACCAUUUUAGAAUGUCAAAAUCAUCCCUAUUUACUUCAUUCUCUUCAUGUAGGUAUUUCUCAUAUUCAGAUUUGCUCAUGCUAGCUUCACCAUCACCAACUCUCAACUUUUUAUUUAUCCGAGACACCAAUUUCCUUCCUUCCCUUUUUUGAGUUAGUUCAGAUUGUGGAGCUCGCACAUGCUUGCUUGCAUCACUUGGUGCAUACUUAGCUUUGUACUCUUCAAACAAAGCAUGCAUAAAUGUUUUCACCGCCUCCCAUGCUUUGCCUCCAUUUAACUCACCAUACAUUUCUUCAAUUGCUAGUUUUGUGAAGUUUGAAAGCUUGAAUCUUGGAUCAAGAACAGUUGCAGCAAAUACAAACACGUUCACAUUCUCCUCUUCCUUUUUCUUUCCUUUCCCCUUCCCCCUUUCAUUCUCCACCUCCUCAUUCCAACGUCCCCAAUACUUAUCAUACUUAUCUUGCAUUUUCUUGGCCAUUGUUUUGCGCAAAAUAUCAUCACUAUCAGCCCACUCUUCCAACACAACAUUAAUUUCAGCAAUAUCCAUAACAAAUUGAUUCACUGUCACAUGGAGUGUGGCAGAAACACUAAGAGUAAGGUGAUAAAACUGUCCAAGAAAUUCAGCCAUUUUCGUAGCAUUCUCCCAAUCACUAUCAACAGGAAUACCAGGAGCUUUCUCACUAGUUAAAUCUAAUGUAUAGAGUGGAUCUUCUUUCUCAUACCUCGCAAACACUUUCUCAAAGUUGAUUGCGGUUGCUAACAUUAGGUAUGUGGAAUUCCAUCUAGUGCAUACAUCCAAACUCAAGAAUGCCUCGCCAUCCACCUUUUCUAACCGAGCAAGUUCUUUAAAUCUUGUAAUUCUAGAUGGCCCAUUUCUUAUAUAUCUAACCGCAGCUCGCACACGCUUAACUGAUUCAUCCAACUCUUUUAGACCAUCAGUAACAAUCAUAUUUAUAAUAUGGGCAGCACAUCUCAUAUGCAUAUAUUUACCUUCAGCUAUGCUAUUUCCAGUUUUGAUCAUUUUCUUCCGUAUGUAACCUACACCACCAUCAUUCGCGCUAGCAUUAUCAACAAUUAUUGUCAUAACUUUGUUUAUUCCCCACUCCAUCAAGCAUUUCUCUAAGGCUUUUCUAAUAUCAUCUCCCUUAUGACCUUUUACUAGGAAAAAGUUAAUGAUUUUCUUGUGCAAAUUCCAUUCAGGAUCAAUAAAAUGUGUUGUGACUGCCAUAUAACAAUCUUGUGUUUCAGAAGUCCAACCAUCAGUGGUGAGACACACUCUUUGACAUGAUUGUUUGAAAAAAAGUUUCAGCUUCGCUCUCUCUUCAAAAUAAACCUUCACAACAUCCCUAGUGCAUGUUCUUCUAGGAGGCAUAUUGAAACGUGGACAUGCAAUUGACAUCACUUCUCUAAAACCAGUUUUUUCAGUAAAUGCGAAUGGAAGCUCAUCUACUAUAAUCAUCUUAGCAAUAGCUUUCCUUAGUGCUUCGGGAUCAAAUUUAUGCACUGAAGGACUUUCCCCUUGGAUAACUUGCAAAGUACCUUGAUUCUUAUUCUUAUCAUUAUGAGGAUUAUACUUGCAAGUAUUAAAAUGACUGAUUAAGGCAGAGGUACCGUUAAUCUCUGGAACGGCCUUGAUAUCACGAUUGCAAUGCUUGCACCUUCCAAACUUGAGAAGACAACCAACUAGUACCUCAGAAAAGUGAUCCCACAUCCGUGAUCUUUUCUGCAUCUGCCUUCUUGUAGGUCGUUCCUCCAUCUCCUUCUUUUCCUUUUCAUACUCAUCAAUCUUUCUUUGUUCUUCCUCAUAAACUCACAUGUCCUCUUCAGUCAUGUCAUCAUCACCAAUGAUACGCAGUCCACCAGGUUCAACCAUCUAAAAAUAGUAACAUAAUUAGAAUUCAUGUGAUCAUUCUUCUAUACCAAUUACUUCGGAGAAGAAUUAAAAAAACAUAUUAAAAAUACAAGUUACCAACGAUGCAACUACUAAAAUCAGUACAUACAGUGUGAGUGCACUAAGUAGAUGGCUGAGAUGAGCUUUCCCUACAAUAUAUAUAACCAUAUGUAAAUUUCCAGCAGUAGUAAAUCUCCAGCAGUAGUAAAUUUCCAGUAAUGUAAAUUUCCCAGCUGAGUUGGUGUCAUGUCCAGAUGUUACUAAACCAGAGAGAUAGAGAACAUUCAUACAGUACAUACAAACUACAAAGACAUAGGCCUGGGCGUACAUUCAUACAGAUUACAGAAUAUUGCAGUAUUGGCCAAACUGCACUUUUUUCUCUGCAUAAAAAAAGAACCAGAGAUCUCUUCUUUUUUCUCUGCAUCCACAUCCACGUUUACCAUCUACUCACAAAGAACAAAAUAAAAUAGGAGACAAAGGAUGGGAGAUUGGGCUUAUUAC